This 922-nucleotide ribosomal RNA is filed under the name uncultured Bacteroidota bacterium. RNAcentral's name for it is "bacterial SSU rRNA". It matches the Rfam family "Bacterial small subunit ribosomal RNA", at positions 1 to 916 of the family's 1533-position model. The record is from RNAcentral. Lineage: Bacteria; Pseudomonadati; Bacteroidota.
GGAUCCAGACUUUGAUUAUGGCUCAGGAUGAACGCUAGCUACAGGCUUAACACAUGCAAGUCGAGGGGCAGCGGGAUUGAAGCUUGCUUCAAUUGCCGGCGACCGGCGCACGGGUGAGUAACGCGUAUCCAACCUUCCGUACACUCAGGGAUAGCCUUUCGAAAGAAAGAUUAAUACCUGAUGGUAUGAUGAGAUUGCAUGAUAGCAUCAUUAAAGAUUUAUCGGUGUACGAUGGGGAUGCGUUCCAUUAGGUAGUAGGCGGGGUAACGGCCCACCUAGCCAACGAUGGAUAGGGGUUCUGAGAGGAAGGUCCCCCACAUUGGAACUGAGACACGGUCCAAACUCCUACGGGAGGCAGCAGUGAGGAAUAUUGGUCAAUGGACGAGAGUCUGAACCAGCCAAGUAGCGUGAAGGAUGAAGGUCCUACGGAUUGUAAACUUCUUUUAUAAGGGAAUAAACCCUCCCACGUGUGGGAGCUUGUAUGUACCUUAUGAAUAAGUAUCGGCUAACUCCGUGCCAGCAGCCGCGGUAAUACGGAGGAUGCGAGCGUUAUCCGGAUUUAUUGGGUUUAAAGGGAGCGCAGACGGGUCGUUAAGUCAGCUGUGAAAGUUUGGGGCUCAACCUUAAAAUUGCAGUUGAUACUGGCGUCCUUGAGUGCGGUUGAGGUGUGCGGAAUUCGUGGUGUAGCGGUGAAAUGCUUAGAUAUCACGAAGAACUCCGAUUGCGAAGGCAGCACACUAAUCCGUAACUGACGUUCAUGCUCGAAAGUGUGGGUAUCAAACAGGAUUAGAUACCCUGGUAGUCCACACGGUAAACGAUGGAUACUCGCUGUUGGCGAUAUACUGUCAGCGGCUUAGCGAAAGCGUUAAGUAUCCCACCUGGGGAGUACGCCGGCAACGGUGCAACUCAAAGGAAUUGACGG